RNAcentral lists this ribosomal RNA (253 nucleotides) under uncultured bacterium. RNAcentral describes it as "partial 16S ribosomal RNA". It matches the Rfam family "Bacterial small subunit ribosomal RNA", at positions 524 to 776 of the family's 1533-position model. The record is from RNAcentral.
UACGGGGGGGGUAAGCGUUGUUCGGAAUUACUGGGCGUAAAGGGCUCGUAGGCGGCCAACUAAGUCAUACGUGAAAUCCCUCAGCUUAACUGGGGAACUGCGUGUGAUACUGGAUGGCUUGGAUUCGGGAGAGGGAUGCAGAAUUCCAGGUGUAGCGGUGAAAUGCGUAGAUAUCUGGAGGAAUACCGGUGGCGAAGGCGGCAUCCUGGACCGACAUUGACGCUGAUGAGCGAAAGCUAGGGGAGCAAACGGG